This 460-nucleotide ribosomal RNA is filed under the name uncultured bacterium. Its description in RNAcentral is "partial 16S ribosomal RNA". It matches the Rfam family "Bacterial small subunit ribosomal RNA", at positions 338 to 795 of the family's 1533-position model. The record is from RNAcentral.
CCUACGGGUGGCUGCAGUGAGGAAUAUUGGUCAAUGGACGUAAGUCUGAACCAGCCAAGUCGCGUGCAGGAUGACGGCUCUAUGGGUUGUAAACUUCUUUUAUACGGGAAUAAAGUGCGGUACGUGUAGCGUUUUGUAUGUACCUUAUGAAUAAGGAUCGGCUAACUCCGUGCCAGCAGCCGCGGUAAUACGGAGGAUCCGAGCGUUAUCCGGAUUUAUUGGGUUUAAAGGGUGCGUAGGCGGAUUGUUAAGUUAGAGGUGAAAGGUUGGGGCUCAACCGUAAAAUUGCCGUUGAAACUGUUAGGCUAGAGUAUAGUUGAGGCAGGCGGAAUGUGUGGUGUAGCGGUGAAAUGCUUAGAUAUCACGCAGAACCCCGAUUGCGAAGGCAGCUUACCAAACUAUAACUGACGUUGAGGCACGAAAGCGUGGGUAUCAAACAGGAUUAGAUACCCUAGUAGUC